AUGGCCCGCCGGCUUUUAGCUAUGUGCCGGUCCUACAGCUGCAGUGCUCCCUCCGUCCCUGGAGUUCCCAGCCAAGCCACAGACCUGCCUCUGAGGAAGGGAAUCGAGCAGGGAGUAGGAGAGGACCUCUGGGGACUCGGGCCUGGAGCUCCUGCCUGCCUAGAUGAAGAGGAGGUCAAGACUUGUGUCCCCCACUCUCCAAGAUACCCCCUCUGUUCUGGAGUGGUGAUCCCCUCCCCUGUUAGGACCUUGUCUCCCUCAGGACUGGACCUGUAUCCUGGGCCUGCAGUCAGAUUGCCAGUUUCACUUGGAGGUGGAAAUGUCAACCCACUGGUUGGAAUGGGAAGGUGGGCUGUGAGGUGGGGGAGGACCUUCAUUUCUAUCUGCCGGAAGGCCAGCCACUUCCUGCAUAGCAUUUCCUUCCUGCAGUAUGGGAAGGACCAGGCUUUCUCAGACCACAGAAUCUUGAGAGCCAAUUCCACAUGGAGCAAGCGGUGGCUACCAGCCUUGGGUCUACAUAACUAUGGCCUCAUCCCUGACCCAAGAAGCCUGCUCCACAGCCUUAUGGUGUCCCCGUAGGGAGAAACACCUGGCAACUUAAAUUUUUAAAAAUAACUUUUUUUUUUUUUGAGAUGGAGUCUUGCUGUGUCGCCCAGGCUGGAGUGAAGUGGCGCGAUCUCUGCUCACACACAGAAAAGUUCACAAAUCCGAAGUGUACCACUUGAUGAAUGAUCCCAAUGUGAGCACACCUCUGCAUUACCACCUGGAUCAAGAAAUAGGACAUCACAGCAACUGGCAGCUUCCAAGGAGAAGCUCCGGAAAGUUCUGCCUGUAUCAGCACCUGGCAGGAUCGGAAAUGAGUUUUCUUUAACCAGAUUUUUAAUGACUCACUUAUGUGGACAAAUCAUAACUGAAUGAAUCACCUCCUUUGUUGAUUUUUUUGGGUACUUUAUUUGCUAUUAUAAAUGAUGCUGUAGUAAGCACCCUUGAAGAAAUCUUCAUAUCUGCCUCUGCUGUGUAGCAGGUCACAGUGCCUGGGUUUGGUUCUAGCCCUCAUUUGUGAACAUGUGACUCUUCAUGCCUUUUUUCUUUCUGUAAGAUGGGAAUAAUGGUAAGAAUUUAAAUGAAGUAAUGUGGAGUGUGUUUAGUUCAGAACCUGGUGCGUACAAGCACUCACUAAGUAUCAGUAAUUAUUAGACCUUUAGAUUAAUUUAUUAGAAGUUGCAUUUCUGGUGAAAGGGUUUGAGUGUUUUUAAGGCUUUAGCACAGAAUACCCAGCCAGAUCCAGAAAGGUGGUUCCCAUUUACCUGCCUGAAGUGCCCUCACCCUUACUCAUACUGGGUACCCUUUUCUAAAAGAACAUUAAAAAUUGGAUAGGUUAAAAACAGGUGAAUAUAUUUUUUUAGUUGCAUUUUUUUUUUUUUUGGUUACCCAUGAGAGUGAACAUGUUGCCUUAUGUUUGCUGACCUCCUAAAUGGUCUAUUUGCUCCUACUUUUGUACCCCAAAAGUCUGCUCUCAAGAUGGUAGCCAGAAUGAUCCUUUUGAGACAUUUCACUCUUCUGCUUAAAGCUCUGCAAU
This 1579-nucleotide long non-coding RNA is filed under the name Theropithecus gelada (gelada). RNAcentral's name for it is "lncRNA (ENSTGEG00000027730.1)". Lineage: Eukaryota; Metazoa; Chordata; Mammalia; Primates; Cercopithecidae. The record is from RNAcentral.